GUGACAGAAGAGAGUGAGCACACAUGGUUUUUCUUGCAUGGAGGUUCAUGCUCGAAGCUCUGUGUGCUCACUCUCUAUCUGUCAC
This is a non-coding RNA of Nelumbo nucifera (sacred lotus), 85 nucleotides long. NCBI's taxonomy places the organism in Eukaryota, Viridiplantae, Streptophyta, Magnoliopsida, Proteales, Nelumbonaceae. The record is from Rfam.